This 222-nucleotide long non-coding RNA is filed under the name Mytilus galloprovincialis (Mediterranean mussel). The record is from RNAcentral. Lineage: Eukaryota; Metazoa; Mollusca; Bivalvia; Mytilida; Mytilidae.
UUAAAAAUCAAACUGUUUCAGUUAUUUUUAUUAUGUACAUGUACAAAAUGUAUCAGGUUUUAUCCUUGGAUGUGCAUGGUGAUAUUGCACUUUUAUGUUUUGUAUAAAUAACAAAACUUAUGUUUUAAUUCUGUUGUUUUAAAAUUGUAUAUAACAGUCUCUCAUAGUUCUUUUAAGAAUGGCACAUGCAUUCUAAAUUUUAUAUUGUGUACUUGAUAUUAU